UGCUUACACAUGCAAGUCGAACGGGCUCUUCGGAGCUAGUGGCGGACGGGUGAGUAACGCGUGAGAAUCUGCCUUCAGGAGGGGGAUAACGACUGGAAACGGUCGCUAAUACCCCAUAUGCCUCCGGGUGAAAAGUAAUUCGCCUGAAGAUGAGCUCGCGUCAGAUUAGCUAGUUGGUGGGGUAAGAGCCUACCAAGGCGACGAUCUGUAGCUGGUCUGAGAGGAUGAUCAGCCACACUGGGACUGAGACACGGCCCAGACUCCUACGGGAGGCAGCAGUGGGGAAUUUUCCGCAAUGGGCGCAAGCCUGACGGAGCAAGACCGCGUGGGGGAUGACGGCCUAAUGGUUGUAAACCCCUUUUCUCUGGGAAGAAGACUGACGGUACCAGAGGAAUCAGCCUCGGCUAACUCCGUGCCAGCAGCCGCGGUAAUACGGAGGAGGCAAGCGUUAUCCGGAAUUAUUGGGCGUAAAGCGUCCGUAGGUGGUUAUUCAAGUCUGCUGUCAAAGCGUGGGGCUUAACUCCAUAGAGGCAGUGGAAACUGAGUGACUAGAGUGCGGUAGGGGUCGAGGGAAUUCCCAGUGUAGCGGUGAAAUGCGUAGAUAUUGGGAAGAACACCAGUGGCGAAAGCGCUCGACUGGGCCUGCACUGACACUGAGGGACGAAAGCUAGGGGAGCGAAAGGGAUUAGAUACCCCUGUAGUCCUAGCUGUAAACGAUGGAUACUAGGUGUUGCUCGUCAUCGACCCGAGCAGUGCCGUAGCCAACGCGUUAAGUAUCCCGCCUGGGGAGUACGCUCG
RNAcentral lists this ribosomal RNA (798 nucleotides) under uncultured organism. Its description in RNAcentral is "bacterial SSU rRNA". It matches the Rfam family "Bacterial small subunit ribosomal RNA", at positions 45 to 888 of the family's 1533-position model. The record is from RNAcentral.